UACGUAGGGGGCUAGCGUUGUCCGGAUUUAUUGGGCGUAAAGAGCGUGUAGGCGGCCAGGUAGGUCUGCUGUGAAAACUCGAGGCUCAACCUCGAGACGUCGGCGGAAACCAUCUGGCUAGAGUCCGGAAGAGGAGAGUGGAAUUCCUGGUGUAGCGGUGAAAUGCGCAGAUAUCAGGAGGAACACCGAUGGCGAAGGCAGCCCCCUGGGCUAACACUGACGCUCAUGCACGAAAGCGUGGGGAGCAAACAGG
RNAcentral lists this ribosomal RNA (253 nucleotides) under uncultured bacterium. RNAcentral describes it as "partial 16S ribosomal RNA". It matches the Rfam family "Bacterial small subunit ribosomal RNA", at positions 524 to 776 of the family's 1533-position model. The record is from RNAcentral.